AGCGAACGCUGGCGGCAGGCCUAACACAUGCAAGUCGAACGGAUCCUUCGGGAUUAGUGGCGGACGGGUGAGUAACACGUGGGAACGUGCCCUUUGGUUCGGAACAACUCAGGGAAACUUGAGCUAAUACCGGAUGUGCCCUUCGGGGGAAAGAUUUAUCGCCAGUGGAGCGGCCCGCGUCUGAUUAGCUAGUUGGUGAGGUAACGGCCCACCAAGGCGACGAUCAGUAGCUGGUCUGAGAGGAUGAUCAGCCACACUGGGACUGGGACACGGCCCAGACUCCUACGGGAGGCAGCAGUGGGGAAUCUUGCGCAAUGGGCGAAAGCCUGACGCAGCCAUGCCGCGUGAAUGAUGAAGGUCUGAGGAUUGUAAAAUUCUUUCAGCGGGGACGAUAAUGACGGUACCCGCAGAAGAAGCUCCGGCUAACUUCG
Molecule: ribosomal RNA, 431 nt
Filed under: uncultured bacterium
Lineage: Bacteria
Description: partial 16S ribosomal RNA
Rfam family: Bacterial small subunit ribosomal RNA
Source: RNAcentral